GGCGCGGUAGCCAAGUGGUAAGGCCGAGGUCUGCAAAACCUCCAUGCGUCGGUUCGAUUCCGACCCGCGCCUCCA
RNAcentral lists this transfer RNA (75 nucleotides) under Puniceicoccales bacterium. Its description in RNAcentral is "tRNA-Cys". It matches the Rfam family "tRNA". Rfam says of the family: Transfer RNA (tRNA) molecules are approximately 80 nucleotides in length. Their secondary structure includes four short double-helical elements and three loops (D, anti-codon, and T loops). Lineage: Bacteria; Pseudomonadati; Verrucomicrobiota; Opitutia; Puniceicoccales. The record is from RNAcentral.